RNAcentral lists this ribosomal RNA (778 nucleotides) under uncultured Neocallimastigales. Its description in RNAcentral is "partial large subunit ribosomal RNA". It matches the Rfam family "Eukaryotic large subunit ribosomal RNA", at positions 19 to 649 of the family's 3401-position model. The record is from RNAcentral. Lineage: Eukaryota; Fungi; Neocallimastigomycota; Neocallimastigomycetes; Neocallimastigales.
CGAGCACGCGCGUGUGGCAUAUCAAUAAGCGGAGGAAAAGAAACUAACAAGGAUUCCCUUAGUAACGGCGAGUGAAGCGGGAAGAGCUCAAAUUUGAAAUCUUCAAGGUUUUACCUCGACGAAUUGUAGUUUAAAGAAGUGUUUUCUGUUGAAGUUUUGGUAGAAGUUCUUUGGAAUAGGACAUCAUAGAGGGUGAGAAUCCCGUAUUUGACCAUUAUUUUCAGCUGUGUGAUACACUUUCAAAGAGUCGGAUUGUUUGGGAAUGCAGUCCAAAAUGGGUGGUAAAUUUCAUCUAAAGCUAAAUAUUGGCGAGAGACCGAUAGCGAACAAGUACCGUGAGGGAAAGAUGAAAAGAACUUUGAAAAGAGAGUUAAACAGUACGUGAAAUUGUCAAAAGGGAAGCGUUUGACACCAGUGUUGUUUUCUCGAAAAUCAAUUAAAAAUGGUGGGAUGUUGUGUUGUAUUGACUUUAUCAGCUUUCUGCACUUUUUUUCCUAUCUUUUUUAAUGCACUUUUCGUUUAACAAGUCAACAUCAGUUUCUUUUGUUGUAAAAGAGUCAUUGAGGAAGGUGGCUUUCUUUUCGGAGAAAGUGUUUAUAGCCUUGUGACUUCUACAAUCGGAGAGAUUGAGGUCUGCAGCGUAGAUCCUUCGGGGUUAGAUACGUUUGUGCUAAGUUAUAGCUUUUCAUAGACAACUUGUUGACUAUGUUUAGUCUUGUAGCUUACUCGCUGACGCUAUUUUACCUACGCUUAGGAUGUUGAGUAGCGACAUACGCAC